GCCCCGGUAGCUCAGCGGUAGAGCACCCGCUUCGUAAGCGGUAGGUCGUUGGUUCAAAUCCGACUCGGGGCACCA
RNAcentral lists this transfer RNA (75 nucleotides) under Alphaproteobacteria bacterium. RNAcentral describes it as "tRNA-Thr". It matches the Rfam family "tRNA". From Rfam's summary of the family: Transfer RNA (tRNA) molecules are approximately 80 nucleotides in length. Their secondary structure includes four short double-helical elements and three loops (D, anti-codon, and T loops). Lineage: Bacteria; Pseudomonadati; Pseudomonadota; Alphaproteobacteria. The record is from RNAcentral. RNAcentral also lists the same sequence under 3 other names.